This 404-nucleotide ribosomal RNA is filed under the name uncultured bacterium. Its description in RNAcentral is "partial 16S ribosomal RNA". It matches the Rfam family "Bacterial small subunit ribosomal RNA", at positions 28 to 526 of the family's 1533-position model. The record is from RNAcentral.
GACGAACGCUGGCGGCGUGCUUAACACAUGCAAGUCGAGCGGAGUGGCGAACGGGUGAGUAACGCGUGAGUAACUGCCCCCCUCUCUGGGAUAACAGUUGGAAACGGCUGCUAAUACCGGAUAGUGGGGGAUGACUCGCGUCCUAUCAGCUUGUUGGUGGGGUAGUGGCCUACCAAGGAUACGACGGGUACCUGGCCUGGGAGGGCGACCGGCCACAUUGGGCUGAGAGACGGCCCAAACUACUACGGUAGGCAGCGGUGGGGAAUAUUGCACAAUGGGGAAAACCAUGAUGCAGCAACGCGCGUGCGGGAUGACAGCCUUCGGGGUGUAAAGCGCUUUCAGCCAUGAAGCGGUAGUGGCAGAAGAAGCACCGGCUAACUACGUGCCAGCCGCCGCGGUAAUUC